Molecule: long non-coding RNA, 2220 nt
Organism: Macaca mulatta (Rhesus monkey)
Lineage: Eukaryota; Metazoa; Chordata; Mammalia; Primates; Cercopithecidae
Source: Ensembl
CUAACAGUGGGGAAAUGGUGGUGAAGUUCAAGUGCAGAGCACUGCCAAGAGAUGAGAAAAUGACGGCAGCAGCAGAAGAACCCUUUAUUUGGUCAAAGUCCAACUCAGAAACUUUAUUUGGUCAGAGUCCAACUCAGAAACUUUAUUUGGUCAAAGUCCAACUCAGAAACUCAAUAUGUAGAGUGGAUGUAUGUGGGGAACUGCUCUGACUGAAGCAAAGUGAGGGCCUGGACCCUAAAAUUCAGCUGUUUCCCCUCUUCUCCCAGAACUCAAGAAGCACAGUUCGAAAACGAAAGAACGAGUGGAAUGCAGGCCUCUCCUUCUUCAGGUGAGGAUUCAGACCAGGAUACAGAACCACUCAGAGGCCUGACUGUCAGUCCGGAAGUCCUUCCAGAGCACCAGCAGUCCUGUGCUCGAGGUUUAGAAACCAAAAACCACUGUGCUGACCACAGCGCCCACUAGAGCUCCCCCUGUAGUCAGAGAUUCACUGGAGCCUCUGUUAGACAUCAUCAUGAAAUGUACCCUGAAAAGACGCUUGCGCAGGACACGCUGCUGGCAACGUGUGGGGUGAAGGGCGCAGAGGUUGCCUUCUCCAAGGAAUCAUUUUCUAAGAUGUACAUUUCCGUCUUGGCAAGCUCAGAGACAAACACCCAGGUACUGUGUUCUGAAGCAGCUGAAUUCGUGAACUAAGAGGAAUAACAUCUUGGGGAGCAUUGGCGCAGGUGCUGUUUGUGCAGGGGCACAUGGAAAGUGUGAGCAGCAGGACAGACCCUCAGCAGGGAUGAGAAGGAGCUACCUGGACUUCUGGGUGUGUGGGAGUUUUAGCAACUUAAUAGCUCAGCAUUGCCUUGCAAAUAUUCUAUGUAUCUGCACCCAAACCUUUUAGGUCUAGAAAUAGAUAUACAAUAUACAAAGUAUAUAUGUAUACUAGAUAGAUAGAUAGAUAGAUAGAUAGAUAGAUAGAUAGAUAGAUAGACAAAUGUAUUAUAUGUAAAGUAUAUACACAUAUAUGUAAGUUUUCCUGUGAGUUUUAUUUUAUUUUAUAAUUUCAACUUUUAUUUUAGAUUAAGGGGUACAUGUGCAGGUUUUACCUGGGUAUACUGCAUGAUGCUGAGGUUUGGGCUACAAUUGAUGCCAUCACCCAGAUACUGAGCAUAGUGUCCAGUAGUUAGUUUUUCAACCCUGGCCCACCUCACCCCCCAUUCUAGUAGUCCCCAGUGUCUAUUGUUGCCAUCUUUAUGUCCAUAAGUACCCAAUAUUUAGGUCCCACAUAUAAGUGAGAACAUGCAGUAUUUAGUUUUCUGUUCCUGCAUUAAUUCACUUAGGAUAAUGGUCUCUGGCUACGUCCAUGUUGCUUCAAAGGACAUGGCUUUUUUUCUUUUUUAUGGCUGUGUAGUAUUUCAUUGUGUACAUGUACCACAUUUCCUUUAUCCAAUCCACCACCGAUGAACAUCUAGACUGAUUUCAUCUGUUUGUUGUUAUGAAUAGUGUUGCAAUGAACACAUGAGUGCGUGUGUCCUUUUGGUAGAAUAAUUUAUUCUCUUUUGGAUAUAUACCCAGUAAUGGGAUUCCCAAGUUGAAUGGCAGUUCUGUUUUAAGUUCUUUGAGAAAUCUCCAAACUGCUUUCCACAGUGGCUGAACUAAUUUACAUUCCCACCAACAGUGCAUAAGCGGUCCCCUUCCUCUGCAGUCUCACCAGGAUCUGUUGUUUUUUGACUUCUUAGUAGUAGCCAUUCUGACUGGUGUGAGAUGGUAUAACCUUGUGGUUUUGAUUUGCAUUUCCCUGAUGAUUAGUGAUACUGAGCAUUUAAAAAAUAUGUUUGUAUGCCUUCUUUUGAGAAGUGUGUGUAUGUUUUUUGCCCAUUUUUUAAUGGAGUUAUUUGUUUUUUGCUUGUUGAAUUAAGUUCCUUGUAAAUUCUGGAUGUUAGACCCUUGUCAGAUGCACAGUUUGUGAAUAUUUUCUCCCAUUCUGUAUCUGCUUACUCUGUUGAUUGUUUUUAUUGCUGAGCAGAAGCUCUUUAGUUUAAUUAGGUCCCAUUUGACAAUUUUUAUGUUGGUUGCAAUUGCUUUUGAGGACUUAGUCAGAAAUUUCUUCCCUCAGGCCCAUGUCCAGAGUGGUGUUUCCUAGGUUUUCUUCUAGGAUUCUUGUAAUUUGAGGUCUUACGUUUAAAUGUUUAAUCCAUCUCGAGUUCACUUUUGUAUAUGGUGAAAGGUAAGAGU